Olea europaea var. sylvestris is the source of this 392-nucleotide long non-coding RNA. RefSeq lists it as uncharacterized. Lineage: Eukaryota; Viridiplantae; Streptophyta; Magnoliopsida; Lamiales; Oleaceae. The transcript is spliced from 2 exons. The record is from RefSeq and is a predicted model, not a curated record.
UACUUGGAUGCUCUGCAGAUGAACUUAAUGAGCUAAAAUCCCAGGAUGGAGAAAAUUCUUAUCAAAUGAAAUUGAAGGAAGCUACAUGGAUUCCACACUUGUUUCGAGUUAGCGUUACUCUACAAGAGUACAACAAUGAGAAAAGGCAGCGGAUAACUAUCAGAGCUGUUGCUCCUGUGGAUUAUGCAACAGAAUCGUCGUCUUUGAUUGAACAAAUAUUGAAGAUGAAAAUCUCUAAAGUAGAGUAGCACGGCGUUUCGACUGUGCUUUUUAGUAGCAGUUUUUGGUUUAGAAACCUUGAUGAAUGCUAUGUUUAUUAGGAUUUUGAUAGUAUUGGUUAUUGCCAAUGCUUGUAAUAUAUGGCAUUAAUUUCUUGAUCAUUCGUUGGUGCA